CCUACGGGAGACAGCAGUGAGGAAUAUUGGUCAAUGGGCGCGAGCCUGAACCAGCCAAGUAGCGUGAAGGAUGACUGCCCUACGGGUUGUAAACUUCUUUUCUAAAGGAAUAAAGUGAGGCACGUGUUCCUUUUUGUAUGUACUUUAUGAAUAAGGCACGGCUAACACCGUGCCAGCAGCCGCGGUAAAACGGAGGAUCCGAGCGUUAUCCGGAUUUAGUGGGUUUAAAGGGAGCGUAGAUGGGUUGUUAAGUCAGUUGUGAAAGUUUGCGGCUCAACCGUCAAAUUGCAAUUGAUACUGGCAGCCUUGAGUACAGUUGAGGUAGGCGGAAUUCGUGGUGUAGCGGUGAAAUGCUUAGAUAUCACGAAGAACUCCGAUUGCGAAGGCAGCUUACUAAACUGCCACUGACAUUGAUGCUCGAAAGUGUGGGUAUCAAACAGGAUUAGAUACCCCAGUAGUC
RNAcentral lists this ribosomal RNA (460 nucleotides) under uncultured bacterium. RNAcentral's name for it is "partial 16S ribosomal RNA". It matches the Rfam family "Bacterial small subunit ribosomal RNA", at positions 338 to 795 of the family's 1533-position model. The record is from RNAcentral.